GAUGAACGCUGGCGGCGUGCCUAAUACAUGCAAGUCGAGCGAACAGACGAGGAGCUUGCUCCUCUGACGUUAGCGGCGGACGGGUGAGUAACACGUGGAUAACCUACCUAUAAGACUGGGAUAACUUCGGGAAACCGGAGCUAAUACCGGAUAAUAUAUUGAACCGCAUGGUUCAAUAGUGAAAGACGGUUUUGCUGUCACUUAUAGAUGGAUCCGCGCCGCAUUAGCUAGUUGGUAAGGUAACGGCUUACCAAGGCGACGAUGCGUAGCCGACCUGAGAGGGGGUACCGCCACACUGGAACCUGAGCCCGGGCCAAACUCCCUCCGGGAGGCACAAUAAGGGAACCUCCCCAAAUGGCCGAAACCUUGCGGGGCAACGCCCCCGUGAGUGAUAAGGUCCUCCGGUCCUUAAACUCUUUUUAUUGGGAAAGACAAAAUUUUAAGUAACUAUGCACGUCUUGGCCGGACCUAAUCAAAAAAGCACCGCUAACUUCGUG
Molecule: ribosomal RNA, 497 nt
Filed under: uncultured bacterium
Lineage: Bacteria
Description: partial 16S ribosomal RNA
Rfam family: Bacterial small subunit ribosomal RNA
Source: RNAcentral